This 288-nucleotide unclassified non-coding RNA is filed under the name Hevea brasiliensis (rubber tree). Lineage: Eukaryota; Viridiplantae; Streptophyta; Magnoliopsida; Malpighiales; Euphorbiaceae. The record is from RNAcentral.
AUGAGAUAUUCAAAGUUUUUCUUGAUGUUAGCUGAUACUCUCCUUUGAGGCGGCAGUGACUCGAUUCUAAAAAUGGAUUACCAAGAGGGGAAGACGGGUCUUUGUUGGUUUCUAUCAGUUAGGCCUUUGGCCCUUCUUUCUCUGGGUAUGAGUCUGUAAUGUUUCUCAUAGUUAGGUAUAGGUCUGUGUUGGUUUGAGCAUGGGCUUAGUCUAGUUAGGAGUUUGCCUAAAUAGGCUUUGAACCAAGAGUUUUUAAGUAUUUUGUGCUUUAUUCUAUUUAUUUUGUGC